UGCUCACUUCAACAGCAGCACUAUACUACAAUUGGAAUGAUAUAGAGAUUAGCAUGGCUCUUUUGCAACGAUGGCAUACAAAUCCGAGAAGCAUUUCACAUUUAA
Molecule: small nuclear RNA, 105 nt
Organism: Nannospalax galili (Upper Galilee mountains blind mole rat)
Lineage: Eukaryota; Metazoa; Chordata; Mammalia; Rodentia; Spalacidae
Source: Ensembl